GAGUUUGAUUCUGGCUCAGAUUGAACGCUGGCGGAAUGCUUUACACAUGCAAGUCGAGCGGCAGCGCGGGGCAACCUGGCGGCGAGCGGCGAACGGGUGAGUAAUACAUCGGAACGUGCCCAGACGUGGGGGAUAGCCCGGCGAAAGCCGGAUUAAUACCGCAUGUGAUCUGAGGAUGAAAGCGGGGGACCUUCGGGCCUCGUGCGUUUGGAGCGGCCGAUGGCAGAUUAGGUAGUUGGUGGGGUAAAGGCUUACCAAGCCUGCGAUCUGUAGCUGGUCUGAGAGGAUGAUCAGCCACACUGGGACUGAGACACGGCCCAGACUCCUACGGGAGGCAGCAGUGGGGAAUUUUGGACAAUGGGCGAAAGCCUGAUCCAGCCAUUCCGCGUGCAGGACGAAGGCCCUCGGGUUGUAAACUGCUUUUGUACAGAACGAAAAGUCUUCGGUUAAUACCCGGG
This 458-nucleotide ribosomal RNA is filed under the name Ottowia sp. canine oral taxon 014. RNAcentral describes it as "bacterial SSU rRNA". It matches the Rfam family "Bacterial small subunit ribosomal RNA", at positions 9 to 467 of the family's 1533-position model. The record is from RNAcentral. Lineage: Bacteria; Pseudomonadati; Pseudomonadota; Betaproteobacteria; Burkholderiales; Comamonadaceae.